Molecule: ribosomal RNA, 409 nt
Filed under: uncultured bacterium
Lineage: Bacteria
Description: bacterial SSU rRNA
Rfam family: Bacterial small subunit ribosomal RNA
Source: RNAcentral
CACAUGCAAGUCGAACGCGUGUAGCAAUACACGAGUGGCGCACGGGUGAGUAACGCGUGGAUAUCUGCCUUUUGGUUCGGAAUAACUCCGGGAAACUGGAGCUAAUACCGGAUGGUUCCUACGGGAUAAAGAUUUAUCGCCAAAGAUGAGUCCGCGUACGAUUAGCUAGUUGGUGAGGUAAUGGCUCACCAAGGCGACGAUCGUUAGCUGGUCUGAGAGGACGAUCAGCCACACUGGGACUGAGACACGGCCCAGACUCCUACGGGAGGCAGCAGUGGGGAAUAUUGGACAAUGGGGCAACCCUGAUCCAGCCAUGCCGCGUGAGUGAUGAAGGCCUUCGGGUUGUAAAGCUCUUUUGGCGGGGACGAUGAUGACGGUACCCGCAGAAUAAGCCCCGGCUAACUUCGUG